Molecule: ribosomal RNA, 407 nt
Filed under: Helicobacter pylori
Lineage: Bacteria; Pseudomonadati; Campylobacterota; Epsilonproteobacteria; Campylobacterales; Helicobacteraceae
Description: bacterial SSU rRNA
Rfam family: Bacterial small subunit ribosomal RNA
Source: RNAcentral
UUGCUAUGACGGGUAUCCGGCCUGAGAGGGUGAACGGACACACUGGAACUGAGACACGGUCCAGACUCCUACGGGAGGCACGCAGUAGGGAAUAUUGCUCACGUAUGGGGGAAACCCUGAAGCAGCAACGCCGCGUGGAGGAUGAAGGUUUUAGGAUUGUAAACUCCUUUUGUUAGAGAAGAUAAUGACGGUAUCUAACGAAUAAGCACCGGCUAACUCCGUGCCAGCAGCCGCGGUAAUACGGAGGGUGCAAGCGUUACUCGGAAUCACUGGGCGUAAAGAGCGCGUAGGCGGGAUAGUCAGUCAGGUGUGAAAUCCUAUGGCUUAACCAUAGAACUGCAUUGAAAACUACUAUUCUAGAGUGUGGGAGAGGUAGGUGGAAUUCUUGGUGUAGGGGUAAAAUCAAC